This 468-nucleotide ribosomal RNA is filed under the name uncultured bacterium. RNAcentral describes it as "partial 16S ribosomal RNA". It matches the Rfam family "Bacterial small subunit ribosomal RNA", at positions 28 to 507 of the family's 1533-position model. The record is from RNAcentral.
GACGAACGCUGGCGGCGUGCUUAACACAUGCAAGUCGAACGGAAAGGCCCUGCUUUUGUGGGGUGCUCGAGUGGCGAACGGGUGAGUAACACGUGAGUAACAUGCCCUUGACUUUGGGAUAACUUCAGGAAACUGGGGCUAAUACCGGAUAGGAGCUCCUGCUGCAUGGUGGGGGUUGGAAAGUUUCGGCGGUUGGGGAUGGACUCGCGGCUUAUCAGCUUGUUGGUGGGGUAGUGGCUUACCAAGGCUUUGACGGGUAGCCGGCCUGAGAGGGUGACCGGCCACAUUGGGACUGAGAUACGGCCCAGACUCCUACGGGAGGCAGCAGUGGGGAAUAUUGCACAAUGGGCGGAAGCCUGAUGCAGCAACGCCGCGUGCGGGAUGACGGCCUUCGGGUUGUAAACCGCUUUCGCCUGUGACGAAGCGUGAGUGACGGUAAUGGGUAAAGAAGCACCGGCUAACUACGUG